RNAcentral lists this ribosomal RNA (375 nucleotides) under uncultured bacterium. RNAcentral describes it as "bacterial SSU rRNA". It matches the Rfam family "Bacterial small subunit ribosomal RNA", at positions 335 to 699 of the family's 1533-position model. The record is from RNAcentral.
ACUCCUACGGGAGGCAGCAGUGGGGAAUAUUGCACAAUGGGGGAAACCCUGAUGCAGCCAUGCCGCGUGUGUGAAGAAGGCCUUGGGUUGUAAAGCACUUUCAGUAGGGAGGAAGGUAGUGUAGUUAACACCUGCACUAUUUGUACGUUACCUACAGAAGAAGCACCGGCUAACUCCGUGCCAGCAGCCGCGGUAAGUACGGAGGGUGCGAGCGUUAAUCGGAAUUACUGGGCGUAAAGCGCAUGCAGGCGGCCUGUUAAGUCAGAUGUGAAAGCCCGGGGCUUAACCUCGGAAUUGCAUUUGAAACUGGCAGGCUAGAGUCUUGUAGAGGGGGUUAGAAUUUCGAGGUGUAGCGGUAGAAAUGCGUAGAGAUCU